RNAcentral lists this ribosomal RNA (254 nucleotides) under uncultured bacterium. Its description in RNAcentral is "partial 16S ribosomal RNA". It matches the Rfam family "Bacterial small subunit ribosomal RNA", at positions 524 to 776 of the family's 1533-position model. The record is from RNAcentral.
UACGUAGGGGGCAAGCGUUGUUCGGAUUUAUUGGGCGUAAAGCGCUCGUAGGCGGCUGAGCAAGUCAGAUGUGAAACCCUCGGGCUUAACCCUAGGCCGCCAUCUGAUACUGCUCAAGCUAGAGUUCGUUAGGGGACGAUGGAAUUCCUGGAGUAGCGGUGAAAUGCGCAGAUCUCAGGAGGAACACCAGCGGCGAAGGCGGCUUGCUAGAACGCAACUGACGCUUAGGCGCGAAAGCGUGGGGAGCAAACAGG